UACGGGAGGCAGCAGUGGGGAAUAUUGCACAAUGGGCGAAAGCCUGAUGCAGCUAUGCCGCGUGUAUGAAGAAGGCCUUAGGGUUGUAAAGUACUUUCAUCGGGGAGGAAAAACAAACUAAUAAUUUUAUUUCUUGACGUCACCCGAAAAAGAAGCACCGGCUAACUCCGUGCCAGCAGCCGCGGUAAUACGGAGGGUGCUAGCGUUAAUCAGAAUUACUGGGCGUAAAGAGCACGUAGGUGGUUUUUUUAAGUCAGAUGUGAAAUCCCUGGGCUUAACCUAGGAACUGCAUUUUGAAACUGAAAUACUAGAGUAUCGUAGAGGGAGGUAGAAUUCUAGGUGUAGCGGUGAAAUGCGUAGAUAUCUGGAGGAAUACCUGUGGCGAAAGCGGCCUCCUAAACGAAUACUGACACUGAGGUGCGAAAGCGUGGGGAGCAAACAGGGAUUAGAUACC
Molecule: ribosomal RNA, 454 nt
Filed under: uncultured bacterium
Lineage: Bacteria
Description: bacterial SSU rRNA
Rfam family: Bacterial small subunit ribosomal RNA
Source: RNAcentral